Molecule: transfer RNA, 40 nt
Filed under: Lindleya mespiloides
Lineage: Eukaryota; Viridiplantae; Streptophyta; Magnoliopsida; Rosales; Rosaceae
Description: partial tRNA-Phe
Source: RNAcentral
UGAAUGGUCGGGAUAGCUCAGCUGGUAGAGCAGAGGACUG